This 155-nucleotide ribosomal RNA is filed under the name uncultured Ceratobasidium. RNAcentral describes it as "5.8S ribosomal RNA". It matches the Rfam family "5.8S ribosomal RNA". Rfam says of the family: 5.8S ribosomal RNA (5.8S rRNA) is a component of the large subunit of the eukaryotic ribosome. It is transcribed by RNA polymerase I as part of the 45S precursor that also contains 18S and 28S rRNA. Functionally, it is thought that 5.8S rRNA may be involved in ribosome translocation. Lineage: Eukaryota; Fungi; Basidiomycota; Agaricomycetes; Cantharellales; Ceratobasidiaceae. The record is from RNAcentral.
AGUUUCAACAACGGAUCUCUUGGCUCUCGCAUCGAUGAGGAACGCAGCGAAAUGCGAUAAGUAAUGUGAAUUGCAGAAUUCAGUGAAUCAUCGAAUCUUUGAACGCACCUUGCGCUCCUUGGUAUUCCUUGGAGCAUGCCUGUUUGAGUAUUAUG